AGUGAAGCGGGAUGAGCUCAAAUUUAAAAUCUGGCUGGUUUACUAGUCCGAAUUGUAGUUUAUAGAAGCGUUUUCGGUGGCAGCCUGGGUAUAAAUCCUUUGGAAUAGGGUAUCAUAGAGGGUGAGAAUCCCGUCUUUGACUCAGUGCAUGCUACUAUGUGAUACGUUUUCAAAGAGUCGAGUUGUUUGGGAAUGCAGCUCAAAAUGGGUGGUAAAUUUCAUCUAAAGCUAAAUAUUGGCGAGAGACCGAUAGCGAACAAGUACCGUGAGGGAAAGAUGAAAAGAACUUUGAAAAGAGAGUUAAACAGUGCGUGAAAUUGUUGAAAGGGAAACGUUUGACACCAGUUAUGCGGGUGGAAAAUCAGUCUUUUGCAAUGGGGAGUUGUGGGCGUUCAGACCGCAAGGCUGGCGUUUGCUUCAUCUUUGUUGUAAGUGAUGCACUUUUUCAUUUGCAGGUCAACAUCAGUUUGCUUUGCUGGACAAAACCCCAAGGGAAGGUGGCAGCUUAGGCUGUGUUAUAGCCCUGGGGCGAUACAGUGGAGUGGACUGAGGUUUCGCAGUGUGUGCUCUCGGGCAAGGCUGACUGGGUGCUAUGGGAUCGUUCGGCGUACAAUGCAUGCAUUUUGCGUCGUGUCUUUUUUAUACUCGCUCAACUCGGCUCUUCCACACUUAGGAUGUUGACUUAAUGGUUUUAAACGACC
RNAcentral lists this ribosomal RNA (701 nucleotides) under Linnemannia elongata. RNAcentral describes it as "eukaryotic LSU rRNA". It matches the Rfam family "Eukaryotic large subunit ribosomal RNA", at positions 92 to 649 of the family's 3401-position model. Lineage: Eukaryota; Fungi; Mortierellomycota; Mortierellomycetes; Mortierellales; Mortierellaceae. The record is from RNAcentral.